UACGGGGGGGGCAAGCGUUGUUCGGAAUUACUGGGCGUAAAGGGCUCGUAGGCGGCCAACUAAGUCAGACGUGAAAUCCCUCGGCUUAACCGGGGAACUGCGUCUGAUACUGGAUGGCUUGAGUUCGGGAGAGGGAUGCGGAAUUCCAGGUGUAGCGGUGAAAUGCGUAGAUAUCGGGAGGAACACCAGUGGCGAAGGCGACUACCUGGCCUGUUUCUUGACGCUGAGGCGCGAAAGCUAGGGGAGCAAACGGG
This 254-nucleotide ribosomal RNA is filed under the name uncultured bacterium. RNAcentral's name for it is "partial 16S ribosomal RNA". It matches the Rfam family "Bacterial small subunit ribosomal RNA", at positions 524 to 776 of the family's 1533-position model. The record is from RNAcentral.